CCUACGGGAGGCAGCAGUAGGGAAUAUUGGGCAAUGGGCGGAAGCCUGACCCAGCCACGCCGCGUGCAGGAAGACGGCCCUCUGGGUUGUAAACUGCUUUUGACUGGGAAGAAAGAAGCCCAUGCGUGGGAAGUUGACGGUACCAGUCGAAUAAGCCACGGCUAACUACGUGCCAGCAGCCGCGGUAAUACGUAGGUGGCAAGCGUUAUCCGGAUUUAUUGGGUUUAAAGGGUGCGUAGGCGGUUUAAUAAGUCAGUGGUUAAAGGUAGCAGCUUAACUGUUUUACAUGCCACUGAUACUGUUGAACUUGAGUUGACAGAAGGCAGAUAGAAUUUCUGGUGUAGCGGUGAAAUGCUUAGAUACCAGAAGGAAUACCGAUUGCGAAGGCAGUCUGCUGCAGUCACACUGACGCUGAGGCACGAAAGUGCGGGGAUCAAACAGGAUUAGAUACCCUGGUAGUCCGCACAGUAACGAUAGAUACUAGUAUAGUUGGUCGGAGAGCGACGUGUCCGAACGGGAAACCGGAACGUAAGUAAUACCACCGUACGGGGUAGGUACGGCCGGCCGACGGUACGGAAACGUUAAACGGUAAGUUAGUACGGCGUGAGACGUACGCCGACGGACGACGACGAGGGAGGAGG
RNAcentral lists this ribosomal RNA (641 nucleotides) under uncultured bacterium. Its description in RNAcentral is "bacterial SSU rRNA". The stretch from base 1 to 543 matches the Rfam family "Bacterial small subunit ribosomal RNA", at positions 338 to 873 of the family's 1533-position model. The record is from RNAcentral.